AGGGAAUAUAACAGGGGAUUGGGGGGGAUUCAGAGAAGCCUGGAUACGAUGAAUUGAUUGAAUUACUUAAUAGACUCAUGAAUAAAGGCAAAACCAAUUCUGAUACUAGCGACACCGCGAUUUAUAAAAUUCUUAUUUCGCCUGUAGCGGGAGGGAAAAUAGCUGCCACGAUGAAUGGUGAGUUACCUGUUUAAUGAAAGUACGAGGGAAAACUUAUUUUUUACCUGAAGCAAGGGUAACUGCACUCACUUGUCAAUGGCUCAUGGGUCCAUGCGUUGGGAAUUCUGUUUAUCUUCAUGAUGGAACCACAUCCACAUGCCAAAGUAGGGUUCUAGUUGGAAAAAUGCAAGUAUUUAUUGACACCUGUAAACUUCCCACGCAGACCUUGUUCAAGGAAUAUAUGGCAGUUCCUCUAUGGGUGGAACCAAACUUCAAUGACUAUAGCUGUCAGUUCUAAUUUGGGAUUCUUCCUCCGCUGCCCCGACAUGAUGCUGCCCUCAAGGAGCCUCGCUUAGAAAUAUGCCCAACUUCAAGUUGACGCAAGUAAGCCACAACCUUAAUAUCGAGGAAUGUCCAAAGGCAUAAAGCUUCCGGACUGUUUUAAAUCAGAUAAAUAACUGUUGUAUGAAUCUCUCAACAUUUGUUGCAUGACUUCCGUUUACACAAAAGGAAACUUAAUUUGCGUCU
Molecule: RNA transcript, 687 nt
Organism: Mangifera indica (mango)
Lineage: Eukaryota; Viridiplantae; Streptophyta; Magnoliopsida; Sapindales; Anacardiaceae
Exons: 5
Source: RefSeq, a predicted model, not a curated record